GAUGAACGCUGGCGGCGUGCUUAACACAUGCAAGUCGAACGGAAAGGCCCAAGCUUGCUUGGGUACUCGAGUGGCGAACGGGUGAGUAACACGUGGGUGAUCUGCCCUGCACUUCGGGAUAAGCCUUGGAAACUGGGUCUAAUACCGGAUAGGACCACAUUCUGGAUGGUGUGGUGGAAAGUUUUUCGGUGUGGGAUGAGCGCGCGGCCUAUUAGCUUGUUGGUGGGGUAAUGGCCUACCAAGGCGUCGACGGGUAGCCGGCCUGAGAGGGUGUACGGCCACAUUGGGACUGAGAUACGGCCCAGACUCCUACGGGAGGCAGCAGUGGGGAAUAUUGCACAAUGGGCGCAAGCCUGAUGCAGCGACGCCGCGUGGGGGAUGACGGCCUUCGGGUUGUAAACUCCUUUCGCUAGGGACGAAGCGAAAGUGACGGUACCUGGAGAAGAAGCACCGGCUAACUACGUG
Molecule: ribosomal RNA, 465 nt
Filed under: uncultured bacterium
Lineage: Bacteria
Description: partial 16S ribosomal RNA
Rfam family: Bacterial small subunit ribosomal RNA
Source: RNAcentral